This 379-nucleotide ribosomal RNA is filed under the name uncultured cyanobacterium. RNAcentral describes it as "bacterial SSU rRNA". It matches the Rfam family "Bacterial small subunit ribosomal RNA", at positions 376 to 770 of the family's 1533-position model. Lineage: Bacteria; Bacillati; Cyanobacteriota. The record is from RNAcentral.
CGAAAGCCUGACGGAGCAAUACCGCGUGAGGGAGGAAGGCCCUUGGGUCGUAAACCUCUUUUAUUAGGGAAGAAGAUCUGACGGUACCUAAUGAAUAAGCAUCGGCUAACUCCGUGCCAGCAGCCGCGGUAAUACGGAGGAUGCGAGCGUUAUCCGGAAUUAUUGGGCGUAAAGCGUCCGUAGGUGGUUUUGCAAGUCUGCCGUUAAAGAAUGGAGCUUAACUCCAUAGGAGCGGUGGAAACUGCAAGACUAGAGUACAGUAGGGGUAGCAGGAAUUCCCAGUGUAGCGGUGAAAUGCGUAGAUAUUGGGAAGAACAUCGGUGGCGAAAGCGUGCUACUGGGCUUGUACUGACACUGAGGGACGAAAGCUAGGGUAGCG